Molecule: ribosomal RNA, 645 nt
Filed under: Triticum aestivum (bread wheat)
Lineage: Eukaryota; Viridiplantae; Streptophyta; Magnoliopsida; Poales; Poaceae
Description: partial small subunit ribosomal RNA
Source: RNAcentral
ACCACCGUGGCUGCAAUGGCGUCGCCCGCUCCCGCGAAGCCCGUCGCUCUCCGGCGGCCGCCGGUCCCAAUCCGCGGCGGGUUCUGCCCGGCGCGUCCGUCCAUGGCUGCGGCGGCAGGCCGGUUCAGAGUCUCGGCCUCCGCUUCCGCGUCGGACGUGCCCGACUUCCUCUCCUCCGACUGGCUUGAAACACGCAAGAAGAAGCCUUUUGGCCCCAGGUUGAAUUAUAAUGCAGAAGAAGCAGUGGAAUACCAACUUGAGGCCUUGAAAUACAAUGACAAACCCCGCCCGGAUUAUGGGGUAGAGGUCAUGUACCGGUUUGCAGGCUUUGAUCCAUUUGAAAGGUCAACUUAUUUUGGACGACAGUUUGAUCUUGGGCAGUUCGAACGUUUCCGGCGGAUAUUUCACCAUUCGACUUACAGAGUGCUGCUUGGCCACAAAGAAAGAGAGAUAUUAAGCAGACUAUGGGUCGAAGAGAACCAGUUUAAGCAGAGAGUCUGGGUCCGAGGAGCUCGCCCGGAGGAAGAGGAAAUAUUCCAGUUUACAAUGGUUCAGAGAGUUGGUGGCUCAUGGGAUGGUUACUGGCUAACCGAGAGCUUGACCAACAACGACGGGGACGCAUUCUCAGGCGGGGUUGCUUAUUGA